GCCUUCGUGUGUAAUGGUCAGCACACUGAGCCGGUAUUUCAGAGGUCAGUGGUUCGAUCCCCGGCGAAGGCA
Molecule: transfer RNA, 72 nt
Filed under: Stegodyphus mimosarum
Lineage: Eukaryota; Metazoa; Arthropoda; Arachnida; Araneae; Eresidae
Rfam family: tRNA
About the family: Transfer RNA (tRNA) molecules are approximately 80 nucleotides in length. Their secondary structure includes four short double-helical elements and three loops (D, anti-codon, and T loops).
Source: Rfam by way of RNAcentral